CCGGCGCACGGUGAGUAACGCGUAUGCAACUUACCUAUCAGAGGGGGAUAGCCCGGCGAAAGUCGGAUUAAUACCCCAUGAAACAGGGGUCCCGCAUGGGAAUAUUUGUUAAAGAUUCAUCGCUGAUAGAUAGGCAUGCGUUCCAUUAGGCAGUUGGCGGGGUAACGGCCCACCAAACCGACGAUCAGUAGCCGACCUGAGAGGGUGACCGGCCACAUUGGGACUGAGACACGGCCCAG
This 239-nucleotide ribosomal RNA is filed under the name uncultured bacterium. RNAcentral describes it as "partial 16S ribosomal RNA". It matches the Rfam family "Bacterial small subunit ribosomal RNA", at positions 95 to 334 of the family's 1533-position model. The record is from RNAcentral.